CAUCAGGUUGAUUCUGCCUGACGUGGAUGCUAUUCUCUGGGGCUAAGCCAUGCAUGUUUAUGAAGCCUUUAUGGGGGAUUGACGGACGGCUCAGUGAUAGUACGAUGAUUUGAUUGGGAGCCUGGAUGUAACUGUGGGAAACUGCAGGUAAGUUCUGGGGGUGGUAGUUUGUAGCUACUGCGUACCGAGUAAGUUGUAGGCCUAUCAGCUGGUAGUUAGGGUAAUGGCCUAACUAGGCGGAGACGGGAGACGGGGGAUCAGGGUUUGAUUCCGGAGAGGGAGCCUGAGAGAUGGCUACUACGUCCAAGGAUGGCAGCAGGCGCGAAACUUGCCUAAUCCUUAUUGGGGAGGCGGUUAUGAGAAGUAAGAUGUUUAGCAAGUAUAAAUUUGUUGUGAUUUACUGGAGGGCAAGUCGGGUGCCAGCAGCCGCGGUAAUACCUGCUCCAGUAGUGUCUAUGGUGAAUGCUGCAGUUAAAAUGUCCGUAGUUGUUUGUAUGUCUUUUGAGUGAUGUUUAUGGUUUUUAGUGGAUGUAGUUUUAUUGUAGCAGAGGACGAGGGGCACUGGAUAGUUGGGCGAGGGGUGAAAUACGAAGACCCUGACUGGACGAAGAGAAGCGAAGGCUGUGUUCUUGGACUUUUGUGGUGAUGAAGGACGAAGGCUAGAGGAUCGAAAUCGAUUAGAUACCGUUUUAGUUCUAGCAGUAAACGAUGCCGACUGGACGGGACUGUUUUAGUGUUGUCCGAGAGAAAUCUUAAGUAUGUGGGUUCUGGGGAUAGUAUGCUCGCAAGAGUGAAACUUGAAGAGAUUGACGGAAGGACACCACAAGGAGUGGAGUGUGCGGCUUAAUUUGACUCAACGCGGGGCAACUUACCGGUUCUGAAGUGAGUGUGAGAGUGUUUUUACAUGAUGCUUACGGCGGUGGUGCAUGGCCGUUUUAAAUGGAUGGCGUGAGCUUUGGAUUAAGUUACGUAAGAUGUGAGACCCUUUUUGACUGUGCUCUAUGGGGCAAGGGAGGAAUGGAACAGAACAGGUCCGUUAUGCCCUGAGAUGAAGCGGGCGGCACGCGCACUACGAUAGAUGCCUAUGUGGGCUACUGUGAGGGAUGAAGCUGUGUAAUGGGCUUCUGAACGUGGAAUUCCUAGUAAGAAUGAUUGAACAAGUUAUUUUGAAUGUGUCCCUGUCCUUUGUACACACCGCCCGUCGCUAUCUAAGAUGACGCAGUGGACGAAGAUUGAGAGGUCUGAGUCUUUCGUGUUAGAUAAGAUAUAAGUCGUAACAUGGCUGCUGUUGGAGAACCAGCAGCAGGAUCAGUA
This is a non-coding RNA of Anncaliia algerae PRA109, 1314 nucleotides long. The record is from Rfam. NCBI's taxonomy places the organism in Eukaryota, Fungi, Microsporidia, Tubulinosematidae.